GACGGACGCUGGCGGCGUGCUUAACACAUGCAAGUCGAACGGAAAGGCCCUGCUUUUGUGGGGUGCUCGAGUGGCGAACGGGUGAGUAACACGUGAGUAACCUGCCCUUGACUUUGGGAUAACUUCAGGAAACUGGGGCUAAUACCGGAUAGGAGCUCCUGCUGCAUGGUGGGGGUUGGAAAGUUUCGGCGGUUGGGGAUGGACUCGCGGCUUAUCAGCUUGUUGGUGGGGUAGUGGCUUACCAAGGCUUUGACGGGUAGCCGGCCUGAGAGGGUGACCGGCCACAUUGGGACUGAGGUACGGCCCAGACUCCUACGGGAGGCAGCAGUGGGGAAUAUUGCACAAUGGGCGGAAGCCUGAUGCAGCAACGCCGCGUGCGGGAUAACGGCCUUCGGGUUGUAAACCGCUUUCGCCUGUGACGAAGCGUGAGUGACGGUAAUGGGUAAAGAAGCACCGGCUAACUACGUG
Molecule: ribosomal RNA, 468 nt
Filed under: uncultured bacterium
Lineage: Bacteria
Description: partial 16S ribosomal RNA
Rfam family: Bacterial small subunit ribosomal RNA
Source: RNAcentral